AUACUUACCUGGCAGGGGAGAUACCAUGAUCAUGAAGGUGGUUUUCUCAGGUCAAGGCUUAUCCACUGAACUCUGGAUGUGCUGACCCCUGUGAUUUCCCCAAAUAUGGGAAACUCGACUGCAUAAUUUGUGGUAGUGGGGGUUUGUGUUCACAUUCCCCCC
Small nuclear RNA from Phyllostomus hastatus (greater spear-nosed bat), 162 nucleotides. RefSeq annotates it as U1 spliceosomal RNA. The record is from RefSeq and is a predicted model, not a curated record. Lineage: Eukaryota; Metazoa; Chordata; Mammalia; Chiroptera; Phyllostomidae. The transcript has a single exon.